RNAcentral lists this ribosomal RNA (253 nucleotides) under uncultured bacterium. RNAcentral's name for it is "partial 16S ribosomal RNA". It matches the Rfam family "Bacterial small subunit ribosomal RNA", at positions 524 to 776 of the family's 1533-position model. The record is from RNAcentral.
UACAGGGGGGGCAAGCGUUGUUCGGAAUUACUGGGCGUAAAGGGCUCGUAGGCGGCCAACUAAGUCCGACGUGAAAUCCCCAAGCUUAACUUGGGAACUGCGUCGGAUACUGGAUGGCUUGAAUUCGGGAGAGGGAUGCAGAAUUCCAGGUGUAGCGGUGAAAUGCGUAGAUAUCAGGAGGAACACCGGUGGCGAAGGCGCACAUCUGGCCCGAUACUGACGCUGAAGCGCGAAAGCUAGGGGAGCAAACGGG